GGUGAGACAGACCGAAGGCUAAGGUAUUGAAGUUGUGACCUUCAAGUAGGGGUUCGAUUCCCCAUCUCACACC
This 73-nucleotide transfer RNA is filed under the name compost metagenome. Its description in RNAcentral is "tRNA-His". It matches the Rfam family "tRNA". Rfam says of the family: Transfer RNA (tRNA) molecules are approximately 80 nucleotides in length. Their secondary structure includes four short double-helical elements and three loops (D, anti-codon, and T loops). The record is from RNAcentral.